RNAcentral lists this unclassified non-coding RNA (555 nucleotides) under Penicillium sp. P5. RNAcentral describes it as "sequence contains ITS1, 5.8S rRNA gene, ITS2". The stretch from base 193 to 345 matches the Rfam family "5.8S ribosomal RNA". Lineage: Eukaryota; Fungi; Ascomycota; Eurotiomycetes; Eurotiales; Aspergillaceae. The record is from RNAcentral.
UGCGGAAGGAUCAUUACCGAGUGAGGGCCCUUUGGGUCCAACCUCCCACCCGUGUUUAUUUUACCUUGUUGCUUCGGCGGGCCCGCCUUUACUGGCCGCCGGGGGGCUCACGCCCCCGGGCCCGCGCCCGCCGAAGACACCCCCGAACUCUGUCUGAAGAUUGAAGUCUGAGUGAAAAUAUAAAUUAUUUAAAACUUUCAACAACGGAUCUCUUGGUUCCGGCAUCGAUGAAGAACGCAGCGAAAUGCGAUACGUAAUGUGAAUUGCAAAUUCAGUGAAUCAUCGAGUCUUUGAACGCACAUUGCGCCCCCUGGUAUUCCGGGGGGCAUGCCUGUCCGAGCGUCAUUGCUGCCCUCAAGCCCGGCUUGUGUGUUGGGCCCCGUCCUCCGAUUCCGGGGGACGGGCCCGAAAGGCAGCGGCGGCACCGCGUCCGGUCCUCGAGCGUAUGGGGCUUUGUCACCCGCUCUGUAGGCCCGGCCGGCGCUUGCCGAUCAACCCAAAUUUUUAUCCAGGUUGACCUCGGAUCAGGUAGGGAUACCCGCUGAACUUAAGCAU